Sycon ciliatum is the source of this 778-nucleotide long non-coding RNA. RefSeq lists it as uncharacterized. The record is from RefSeq and is a predicted model, not a curated record. The transcript has 3 exons. Lineage: Eukaryota; Metazoa; Porifera; Calcarea; Leucosolenida; Sycettidae.
ACUGGAUCAAGCUUUUCCAAUCGCCAAUUUCAUAAUUGGACAUGGUACACACCAUCCUCCAACACGACGACAGGUAGCAUAGUAUGGAGAAGUGGCUAUCCUAAUCAUGAUAGUUCAAAGUAUCGUGUGAAUUACAACCCAUCAAAAGGCGGCUUUGGCAAUGUACCUGACUAUACACGACCCUACCUGUGUCAACAGUACUAUCCACCAGCACCGGUCAAAAUACAUUUGAACUCCACGUGGGUAUAUGAACUGGCGGUUUCUGCUGCCUUACACCCUGCAACCUACUUGUCUAAUAUCAGUGAAUACUGCUUUACGUACGGACCAGCGCUCACUGCAGCCAACACUGAUAUGGACGUUGGGACAAUUUCUGUGUGCGGGACUCUAAACUCUGUUCGGCUCAAUUGUAAAAGCAACACACUUUACAAUAUCUCAGCUUACGUGAAAACAGUGGCAGGACUUAGCAGUUCAGUAUCGGGAGGGACUCCAUUUGCAACUCGUCCAGAAAGUCCAUUGGGGGUAAUAAUAUACAAAAUCGCUGACACAUUUGUCCAGCUAAAGGCCAAUGUAAGGGUGCACGGCGACCUUCCUAUUGUGCGGUACUUUUUCAAAUGUGGUAAAAAGAAGAAGGUUUCUGAGCUGUACACGUCUCCAUUCCAACAAUCUACCUACAUGUUUACGGAUUUGACAGCUGACACAAACUAUAGCGUCUCCACAGCAAUCCAAAACAAAUACGGUUGGAGCAGCCUCUCCCAAUCAACAUCUAUCACGACCCUUC